RNAcentral lists this ribosomal RNA (433 nucleotides) under uncultured bacterium. RNAcentral's name for it is "partial 16S ribosomal RNA". It matches the Rfam family "Bacterial small subunit ribosomal RNA", at positions 29 to 507 of the family's 1533-position model. The record is from RNAcentral.
AACGAACGCUGGCGGCAUGCCUAACACAUGCAAGUCGAACGAGACCUUCGGGUCUAGUGGCGCACGGGUGCGUAACGCGUGGGAACCUGCCCUUAGGUUCGGAAUAACUCCCCGAAAGGGGUGCUAAUACCGGAUAAUGUCUUCGGACCAAAGAUUUAUCGCCUUUGGAUGGGCCCGCGUUGGAUUAGCUAGUUGGUAGGGUAAAAGCCUACCAAGGCGACGAUCCAUAGCUGGGCUGAGAGGAUGAUCAGCCACACUGGGACUGAGACACGGCCCAGACUCCUACGGGAGGCAGCAGUGGUGAAUAUUGGACAAUGGGCGAAAGCCUGAUCCAGCAAUGCCGCGUGAGUGAUGAAGGCCUUAGGGUUGUAAAGCUCUUUUACCCGGGAUGAUAAUGACAGUACCGGGAGAAUAAGCUCCGGCUAACUCCGUG